GACGAACGCUGGCGGCGUGCUUAACACAUGCAAGUCGAACGGAAAGGCCCUGCUUUUGUGGGGUGCUCGAGUGGCGAACGGGUGAGUAACACGUGAGUAACCUGCCCUUGACUUUGGGAUAACUUCAGGAAACUGGGGCUAAUACCGGAUAGGAGCUCCUGCUGCAUGGUGGGGGUUGGAAAGUUUCGGCGGUUGGGGAUGGACUCGCGGCUUAUCAGCUUGUUGGUGGGGUAGUGGCUUACCAAGGCUUUGACGGGUAGCCGGCCUGAGAGGGUGACCGGCCACAUUGGGACUGAGAUACGGCACAGACUCCUACGGGAGGCAGCAGUGGGGAAUAUUGCACAAUGGGCGGAAGCCAGAUGCAGCAACGCCGCGUGCGGGAUGACGGCCUUCGAGUUGUAAACCGCUGUCGCCUGUGACGAAGCGUGAGUGACGGUAAUGGGUAAAGAAGCACCGGCUAACUACGUG
RNAcentral lists this ribosomal RNA (468 nucleotides) under uncultured bacterium. Its description in RNAcentral is "partial 16S ribosomal RNA". It matches the Rfam family "Bacterial small subunit ribosomal RNA", at positions 28 to 507 of the family's 1533-position model. The record is from RNAcentral.